UAGUCAUAUGCUUGUCUCAAGGAUUAAGCCAUGCAUGUCUAAGUUUAAGCGAUUUAUACUGUGAGACUGCGGACGGCUCAUUAUAUCAGUUAUAGUUUAUUUGAUGGUCACCACUACAAGGAUAACCGUAGUAAUUCUAGAGCUAAUACUUGCACUAAAGACCCUUUUGGGUUUGCAUUUAUUAGAUUUCCUACCAAUCUGCUCACGCAGUUCGGUGAAUCAUAGUAACUAAGCGGAUCAGAUCUUCGGAUUUGACGCUUCAUUCAAGUUUCUGCCCUAUCAGCUUUCGAAGGUAGUGUAUUGGACUACCUUGGCAUUGACGGGUAACGGAGAAUUAGGGUUCGAUUCCGGAGAGGGAGCCUGAGAAACGGCUACCACAUCCAAGGAAGGCAGCAGGCGCGUAAAUUACCCAAUCCUAACGCAGGGAGGUAGUGACAAGAAAUAACGAUAGCUCAUCACUUUUGAUAAGCUGAUCGGAAUGAGUACAAUCUAAACACCUUAACGAUUAACAAUUGGAGGGCAAGUCUGGUGCCAGCAGCCGCGGUAAUUCCAGCUCCAAUAGCGUAUACUAAUGUUGUUGCAGUUAAAAAGCUCGUAGUCGGAUUUCAGAUUCCUUUUAGCAUGCUUUCAUGGCUUGUUACAAGACAUCUUCUUUGACAGAAGGCUUCUUGGUAUUGAUUUACUGAGUUGUCCGACUGUCUCUUUUACUUUGAGAAAAUUAGAGUGUUCAAAGCAGGUCCAUCGCCUGAAUAUUACUCUUGGAAUAAUACUAUAGGACUCUGUCUCUAGUUUGUUGGUUUACUGGAGCCGGGGUAAUGAUUAAUAGCGACGGUUGGGGUCAUUCGUACUGCAAAGCGAGAGGUGAAAUUCUUGGACCUUUGUAUGACGAACAACUGCGAAAGCAUUUGACUAGGACGUUCGCGUUGAUCAAGAACGAAAGUUGGGGGAUCGAAGACGAUCAGAUACCGUCGUAGUCUCAACCAUAAACUAUGCCAGCUAGGGAUGAGCGAAUGUUAUCUACUGACUUCGUUUGCACCUUAUGAGAAAUCAAAGCAUUUGGGUUCCGGGGGGAGUAUGGUCGCAAGGCUGAAACUUAAAGGAAUUGACGGGAGGGCACCACCAGGAGUGGAGCCUGUUGCUUAAUUUGAUUCAACACGGGAAAACUUACCAGGUCCGGACAUAGUAAGGAUUGACAGAUUGAAAGCUCUUUCUUGAUUCUAUGGGUGGUGGUGCAUGGCCGUUCUUAGUUGGUGGAGUGAUUUGUCUGGUUAAUCCCGUUAACGAACGAGACCUCAGCCUGCUAAAUAGUUGUUUUCUGGUUUCAGGAAAUAUACUUCUUAGAGGGACUACUUGCUAUCAAGUGAGCGGAAGCUUGAGGCAAUAACAGGUCUGUGAUGCCCUUAGAUGUUCUGGGCUGCUAACGGGCUACACUGGUGCAUUCAACAAGUUCCUCUCUUCUUCGAAAGAAGUGGAUAAUCUUUGAACUUGCACCGUGCUUGGGAUAGACUAUUGCAAUUUUUAGUCUUCAACGAGGAAUUCCUAGUAAACGCGAGUCAUCAACUCGCAUUGAUUACGUCCCUGCCCUUUGUACACACCGCCCGUCGCUCCUACCGAUUGGGUGAUUCGGUGAGCUCUUGGGAUUGAUUGUUUAGCUACUCUCACGAGUUCUUUCCAGUGAAAACUUGAUCAAACCUAAUCACCUAGAGGAAGGAGAAGUCGUAACAAGGUUUCCGUAG
RNAcentral lists this ribosomal RNA (1736 nucleotides) under uncultured eukaryote. RNAcentral's name for it is "SSU rRNA". It matches the Rfam family "Eukaryotic small subunit ribosomal RNA". The record is from RNAcentral.